Molecule: ribosomal RNA, 546 nt
Filed under: Cryptosporidium parvum
Lineage: Eukaryota; Apicomplexa; Conoidasida; Eucoccidiorida; Cryptosporidiidae
Description: SSU rRNA
Rfam family: Eukaryotic small subunit ribosomal RNA
Source: RNAcentral
GGGUAUUGGCCUACCGUGGCAAUGACGGGUAACGGGGAAUUAGGGUUCGAUUCCGGAGAGGGAGCCUGAGAAACGGCUACCACAUCUAAGGAAGGCAGCAGGCGCGCAAAUUACCCAAUCCUAAUACAGGGAGGUAGUGACAAGAAAUAACAAUACAGGACUUUUUGGUUUUGUAAUUGGAAUGAGUUAAGUAUAAACCCCUUUACAAGUAUCAAUUGGAGGGCAAGUCUGGUGCCAGCAGCCGCGGUAAUUCCAGCUCCAAUAGCGUAUAUUAAAGUUGUUGCAGUUAAAAAGCUCGUAGUUGGAUUUCUGUUAAUAAUUUAUAUAAAAUAUUUUGAAUAUUUAUAUAACAUUAACAUAAUUCAUAUUACUAUAUUUUUUAGUAUAUGAAAUUUUACUUUGAGAAAAUUAGAGUGCUUAAAGCAGGCAUAUGCCUUGAAUACUCCAGCAUGGAAUAAUAUUAAAGAUUUUUAUCUUUCUUAUUGGUUCUAAGAUAAGAAUAAUGAUUAAUAGGGACAGUUGGGGGCAUUUGUAUUUAACAGUCAG